UACAGGUACAGACAGGUAGUGUACAGGUACAGACAGGUAGUGUACAGGUACAGACAGGUAGUGUACAGGUAGUGUACAGGUACAGACAGGUACAGACAGGUAGUGUACAGGUACAGACAGGUAGUGUACAGGUACAGACAGGUAGUAUACAGGUACAGACAGGUAGUGUACAGGUACAGACAGGUAGUGUACAGGUACAGACAGGUAGUGUACAGGUACAGACAGGUAGUGUACAGGUAGUGUACAGGUACAGACAGGUAGUGUACAGGUAGUGUACAGGUACAGACAGGUAGUGUACAGGUACAGACAGGUAGUGUACAGGUACAGACA
This is a long non-coding RNA of Salvelinus fontinalis (brook trout), 330 nucleotides long. RefSeq lists it as uncharacterized. The transcript is spliced from 3 exons. The record is from RefSeq and is a predicted model, not a curated record. NCBI's taxonomy places the organism in Eukaryota, Metazoa, Chordata, Actinopteri, Salmoniformes, Salmonidae.